Olea europaea var. sylvestris is the source of this 509-nucleotide long non-coding RNA. RefSeq lists it as uncharacterized. The record is from RefSeq and is a predicted model, not a curated record. NCBI's taxonomy places the organism in Eukaryota, Viridiplantae, Streptophyta, Magnoliopsida, Lamiales, Oleaceae. The transcript has 3 exons.
CCAGUUCUCGCCCCCGGCUGCGGUAGUGCUUUAUAUCUCUCUCCCCCAAGUUUCUUUUCAGCCUCCCUAGCAGACAUGAUCGUAUCACUUUCUCGCCCUUCGUCAUCUCCGAUUCUCCACUCCGAAGUCUGCACGUUACUUCUUGAGUAGUUGAGUUAAUCCAUUGUUCUCGUCUACCGUCUACACUGUGUCAAUCAUCUCCCGUCGUUGUUGGAACUCUACAGUUUCUCAGUCUAAUUAUUCUUUACAGAGUUUCAAAUUAAGAUUCUAAAGAAGCACAAAUAUUCAGGUGAGCUAUGCUGAAUUCGAUUAUGAUUGAUUUUAUUAUUAUGCCUAAUGUGGAGAAUGAAAUUAUGAUACCCUCUAACCUGAACAUAAUAUUAAGGAUUCUUUCUCUAACCUUAUUGGUGGAGCUCUUAAGGUUAUUAAUAUUGAAAGGGAGAAAAUCUCUUGCCUCCUCACCGUCAAACCUCCUGCACUGAGAGGCACUUUUCGAGGUCCAUCAAAGG